Molecule: transfer RNA, 93 nt
Filed under: Aliidongia dinghuensis
Lineage: Bacteria; Pseudomonadati; Pseudomonadota; Alphaproteobacteria; Rhodospirillales; Dongiaceae
Description: tRNA-Gly
Source: RNAcentral
CGCCAGCCUGAUUGAGGCUUUGCGAUGCGCCCUGCCGGAUCGCCUGGGCGAGAUUGUUCUCGCUGUCGCUGGUGCCGGCUUCCGCGCUGACGC